GCCGCGGUAAGUACGGAGGGGGUUAGCGUUGUUCGGAAUUACUGGGCGUAAAGCGUACGUAGGCGGGUUGUUAAGUUAGAGGUGAAAUCCCGGGGCUCAACCCGGAACUGCCUUGUAAACUCCUGGUCUUGAGUUCGAGAGAGGUGAGUGGAAUUCCGAGUGUAGAGGUGAAAUUCGUAGAUAUUCGGAGGAACACCAGUGGCGAAGGCGGCUUACUGGCUCGAUACUGACGCUGAGGUGCGAAAGUGUGGGGAGCAAACAGGAUUAGAUACCCUGGUAGUCCACACCGUAAACGAUGAAUGCCAGUCGUCGGGUAGUAUACUAUUCGGUGACACACCUAACGGAUUAAGCAUUCCGCCUGGGGAGUACGGUCGCAAGAUUAAAACUCAAAGGAAUUGACGGGGGCCCGCACAAGCGGUGGAGUAUGUGGUUUAAUUCGAAGCAACGCGCAGAACCUUACCAACCCUUGACAUCCUCGGACCGCCAGAGAGAUCUGGUUUUCUCGCAAGAGACCGAGUGACAGGUGCUGCAUGGCU
RNAcentral lists this ribosomal RNA (536 nucleotides) under uncultured Paracoccaceae bacterium. RNAcentral's name for it is "bacterial SSU rRNA". It matches the Rfam family "Bacterial small subunit ribosomal RNA", at positions 514 to 1050 of the family's 1533-position model. The record is from RNAcentral. Lineage: Bacteria; Pseudomonadati; Pseudomonadota; Alphaproteobacteria; Rhodobacterales; Paracoccaceae.